This 404-nucleotide ribosomal RNA is filed under the name uncultured bacterium. RNAcentral describes it as "bacterial SSU rRNA". It matches the Rfam family "Bacterial small subunit ribosomal RNA", at positions 355 to 776 of the family's 1533-position model. The record is from RNAcentral.
UGGGGAAUAUUGCACAAUGGGGGAAACCCUGAUGCAGCGACGCCGCGUGAGUGAAGAAGUAUUUCGGUAUGUAAAGCUCUAUCAGCAGGGAAGAAAAUGACGGUACCUGACUAAGAAGCCCCGGCUAACUACGUGCCAGCAGCCGCGGUAAUACGUAGGGGGCAAGCGUUAUCCGGAUUUACUGGGUGUAAAGGGAGCGUAGACGGCAGUGCAAGCCUGGAGUGAAAGGAUGGGGCCCAACCCCAUGACUGCUCUGGGAACUGUACAGCUAGAGUGCCGGAGGGGUAAGCGGAAUUCCUAGUGUAGCGGUGAAAUGCGUAGAUAUUAGGAGGAACACCAGUGGCGAAGGCGGCUUACUGGACGGUAACUGACGUUGAGGCUCGAAAGCGUGGGGAGCAAACAGG